CUCAAAACUGCAUUGUACUGCCAAUUUUGUGAUACUACAGGAGAUAAACCAUUCAGAAGAGAAGAGAGAUUUUAUGGAAGAGGAGGAAAGGAGGAGGGGUUAGCAGAGGGACCAAAACAAAGCAGCAUUGGCAUUUGUUGUCCUGAUUGUAAACUAGGUACAGGUGUGCAGCGAGAACAUGUGGGAUCGGAUUGGUUAACAGCACAUGGGCGAUGUGUUUUAAGGGAGAAGACUUUUAGCAUUGGGAUGAUGUGUGGGUGAGACGUAAUUUGCUGUGUGCACUGGAUUAUCGAUCGGAAAGGAGUACCGUCUGGAUAACGUUGCCUUGGAGACGCAAGUGAGAGCUCGUAACGAGGAGUUGACAGCGGCUACGAGCGAAUUGGAAAGAGGGUUGCGUUGGGCUGUGGACGACCGGUCGGAGGAGACCGUGAGAGAGAUCGCUUGGGCUACGGACAGUUAAGUAACGUUAAACACUUACUCAAUGUGAUUGGUUGGAUAAAAGAACACGGGAACGACCUGCUAGCCCCACUGAACUACUUAAGUGAUCAUUAUACUGAUUGUGUAUCAUUGCUGCUUCACCUGUGUGUAGCUAACGACCCGCUAGCCCCACUGAACUACUCUAGUGAUCAUUACACUGAACGUGCAUCAAUGCUGCUUUGCCUGUGUGUAGCCAACGACCUGCUAACCCCACUGAACUACUCUAGUGGCCUUCCUUGCUUUAUCGAACUGAUUUCACCCUCUAGUCUGCCCUACCCCUCGUGUGGAUCUGACUGGGUAGCGUACCCUAGUCUAAUUGCCGCCUGCCUGCAACUGUCCUGAGUCAACUGCCUACUGAUUGUUGGUGUGAACAUCAUAGCCUCACUUGAACUUGGUGUUGUGGUGUACUUCUGGAGUGUGUACCACGAUUGCAGUGGAUUUUCCCAGGUCUCGUUGACGCGGCUGUGUUGGCCCAAGCAGCUCGUUAAAGGUUGGGGAGCGAGUCAGGAGGAUCUUAUCACCAGUUUACCUGUUGGGGGGUUUCCGGUGCCUGAGUAGCUGUACCCUUGAGUGGGGGAGUGUGGGGAUAUCUUCGACAAAAGCCAGGCCCAGACAUAUCGUGUGGCAAAAGACAACUGCCUUGUUUUUAGACUCUUAAUUGUGAAUUUCAAUAAAUUAUUGGUUUUAUCUUAUUCUGUGGGCCUCUGAACUUUAUUGGUGGGUGUGGUCUGCUCCUCAGGGUAGUAAGUUGUGGUGGUCGCUUGAUAGCGGUCCGCCGGGGUCACAUUUGGCAUAUUCGGCAGGAUUCUGCCCUGAGUGGAGCAAUUACCCUGCCAAUAUGGUAGAUGAGGCGCCAGCGCGUCGGCCAGCAGCAAUGCCUUUCUUUAUGGGUGCCCCAUGGGCACCUAGGUUUGGGGGCCUGGAGUCUGAGUUGCAAUUGGGGGAGUGGAUGUCGCAGACCAAGUACCUUGCGAGCUUACCGGGCCUGAGUGAACAACAAGAAGUCCUAUUCGUGUUGGGAUCCUUAGAAGGAGAAGCAAAAAGGGAGGUGCUAGCAGUCGCUAGGCGAGCGUAACACAGCUGGAAAGAUUUUUGACCUCCUUUGUCAGAGAGCUGUUUACGAGGCUGAGAGACCGGGAUGAUUCAGGUUUGGCUGAAGGCGACCACCUGGUGCGUGACCAGUUCAUUGUGGGGUUGCGGGAUGGUUCCAUCCGACAGACCUUGAAGCUACAGUUACGCCAUGAUCCAACCUUGACUUUUGAAGCCGUGAGGAAGGAGGCUUUGGCAGUGGAGGUAGACCAGCUGGAGCCUGGGGAGACGGUUGCUGACUGCAGGGCUGUGGGUUCCAUGGCCCCGAAUCCAGUACUAGUGGCUGAUUGGAAGAGAGAACUACGGGAGGAAAUAAUGAAGGAUGUAAAGGAGCAGAUGAGUGAGCUGUCAAAAACCCUCUUGGCAGAACUUCGUGAUAACCGCCACCUUGGACCUCCUUUGCCUCGAGAGAGGUCACACUCUGAUGGAGGCCCCAGCCGGCCCAACCAUCUAACUCCAAAUUUCACUGGGAUGCCCAAGGCCAACCCAUUUUUAAUCGCUGUAGGCUUGCUGGACACAACAGCCGCCAUUGCACCUCACGUCGUUCCUCUCAAAUGCAUUUUUAGAGCGCCCGGCCACUGUGAAGCAAGUGUCCGGGGAGCCAUCAGAUCAAGCCAGGUUCCAUCCUAGAAAUGCCCUAAUUGGGCAGUGCCCCAUAGUUAAGAAUAGAGUCUGAAUUAACUCAGUAGUUUAACUUUCUCCCAUCUUCGAAGCUGCAGCCUGGGGUUACUCAUAGUAAACGACUCCCAAACAAUCGAAUUACACGGCCGAGCAAGAUUUUUAACAAAUCAAAUGAAAGAAAUCAAGUUUUUGUUAAUACGAACGUGAAUUGCAGCCAAUCACAUUACAGAACUAAGUAGAAUUCCAACCAAUUAAAUUAAAGAAGGUGGGAAUCUCUGUUCACUAAGUUUGAGCGUUUGUAUAGUGCUUAACACAUGAAUGCAUACUGUUUCAAAGCAUUACAGAAAAUGCAUACCGGCAGUUAGCAAAUCUAAAUAUGCAAACUACUUAACUUUAAAUUUUAAAUGACAUUUAGAUUAUUUGUCAUGUAACAUUCUUGUAGUGACUGUCAGUCAAGCAAAUAAACAAUAAAUGUUUAUGUAUACUGUAAUAAAAAGUAUGAAUGUGUGUAAAUUGUGGAUUAAAUUAAAAAGGAUUCAGAAGGCGGCGAGCUGUCAUCACAAGUAAUGAAAUGACAUUUAGGGCUAAGUUUGUGUUAAUACGAUUUAAAAAAUCUUAUUAAAGCUACCGUUUUUUAGUUAGA
Misgurnus anguillicaudatus (oriental weatherfish) is the source of this 2830-nucleotide non-coding RNA. The record is from RefSeq and is a predicted model, not a curated record. Lineage: Eukaryota; Metazoa; Chordata; Actinopteri; Cypriniformes; Cobitidae.